GGAGUAGAAGUAGUGCGUUAAGUACCGGACGGAUGGGAGGUUGCCGCCGGGCGAAGGAACGGUUUUGCUGUUCCACGAUACUACGUUCGCAACCGCCU
This 98-nucleotide non-coding RNA is filed under the name human gut metagenome. Its description in RNAcentral is "THF riboswitch". It matches the Rfam family "THF (Tetrahydrofolate) riboswitch aptamer". Rfam says of the family: THF riboswitch presents a pseudoknot that joins P1-P2 and the loop of P3 and two THF binding. The record is from RNAcentral.